GCCUAACACAUGCAAGUCGAACGGUAACAGGAAGCAGCUUGCUGCUUUGCUGACGAGUGGCGGACGGGUGAGUAAUGUCUGGGAAACUGCCUGAUGGAGGGGGAUAACUACUGGAAACGGUGGCUAAUACCGCAUAACGUCGCAAGACCAAAGAGGGGGACCUUCGGGCCUCUUGCCAUCAGAUGUGCCCAGAUGGGAUUAGCUUGUUGGUGAGGUAACGGCUCACCAAGGCGACGAUCCCUAGCUGGUCUGAGAGGAUGACCAGCCACACUGGAACUGAGACACGGUCCAGACUCCUACGGGAGGCAGCAGUGGGGAAUAUUGCACAAUGGGCGCAAGCCUGAUGCAGCCAUGCCGCGUGUAUGAAGAAGGCCUUCGGGUUGUAAAGUACUUUCAGCGGGGAGGAAGGUGUUGCGGUUAAUAACCGCAGCAAUUGACGUUACCCGCAGAAGAAGCACCGGCUAACUCCGUGCCAGCAGCCGCGGUAAUACGGAGGGUGCAAGCGUUAAUCGGAAUUACUGGGCGUAAAGCGCACGCAGGCGGUCUGUCAAGUCGGAUGUGAAAUCCCCGGGCUCAACCUGGGAACUGCAUUCGAAACUGGCAGGCUUGAGUCUUGUAGAGGGGGGUAGAAUUCCAGGUGUAGCGGUGAAAUGCGUAGAGAUCUGGAGGAAUACCGGUGGCGAAGGCGGCCCCCUGGACAAAGACUGACGCUCAGGUGCGAAAGCGUGGGGAGCAAACAGGAUUAGAUACCCUGGUAGUCCACGCCGUAAACGAUGUCUACUUGGAGGUUGUGCCCUUGAGGCGUGGCUUCCGGAGCUAACGCGUUAAGUAGACCGCCUGGGGAGUACGGCCGCAAGGUUAAAACUCAAAUGAAUUGACGGGGGCCCGCACAAGCGGUGGAGCAUGUGGUUUAAUUCGAUGCAACGCGAAGAACCUUACCUGGUCUUGACAUCCACAGAACUUUCCAGAGAUGGAUUGGUGCCUUCGGGAACUGUGAGACAGGUGCUGCAUGGCUGUCGUCAGCUCGUGUUGUGAAAUGUUGGGUUAAGUCCCGCAACGAGCGCAACCCUUAUCCUUUGUUGCCAGCGAUUAGGUCGGGAACUCAAAGGAGACUGCCAGUGAUAAACUGGAGGAAGGUGGGGAUGACGUCAAGUCAUCAUGGCCCUUACGACCAGGGCUACACACGUGCUACAAUGGCGCAUACAAAGAGAAGCGACCUCGCGAGAGCAAGCGGACCUCAUAAAGUGCGUCGUAGUCCGGAUUGGAGUCUGCAACUCGACUCCAUGAAGUCGGAAUCGCUAGUAAUCGUGGAUCAGAAUGCCACGGUGAAUACGUUCCCGGGCCUUGUACACACCGCCCGUCACACCAUGGGAGUGGGUUGCAAAAGAAGUAGGUAGCUUAACCUUCGGGAGGGCGCUUACCACUUUGUGAUUCAUGACUGGGGUGAAGUCGUAACAAGGUAACCGUAGGGGAACCUGCGGUUGGAUCACCUCCUUACCUUAAAGAA
RNAcentral lists this ribosomal RNA (1507 nucleotides) under Salmonella enterica subsp. enterica serovar Stanley. Its description in RNAcentral is "bacterial SSU rRNA". It matches the Rfam family "Bacterial small subunit ribosomal RNA". Lineage: Bacteria; Pseudomonadati; Pseudomonadota; Gammaproteobacteria; Enterobacterales; Enterobacteriaceae. The record is from RNAcentral.